UAGAGGAAGUAAAAGUCGUAACAAGGUCUCCGUUGGUGAACCAGCGGAGGGAUCAUUACCGAGUUUACAACUCCCAAACCCAAUGUGAACGUUACCAAACUGUUGCCUCGGCGGGGUCACGCCCCGGGUGCGUCGCAGCCCCGGAACCAGGCGCCCGCCGGAGGAACCAACCAAACUCUUUCUGUAGUCCCCUCGCGGACGUAUUUCUUACAGCUCUGAGCAAAAAUUCAAAAUGAAUCAAAACUUUCAACAACGGAUCUCUUGGUUCUGGCAUCGAUGAAGAACGCAGCGAAAUGCGAUAAGUAAUGUGAAUUGCAGAAUUCAGUGAAUCAUCGAAUCUUUGAACGCACAUUGCGCCCGCCAGUAUUCUGGCGGGCAUGCCUGUCCGAGCGUCAUUUCAACCCUCGAACCCCUCCGGGGGAUCGGCGUUGGGGAUCGGGACCCCUCACACGGGUGCCGGCCCCGAAAUACAGUGGCGGUCUCGCCGCAGCCUCUCCUGCGCAGUAGUUUGCACAACUCGCACCGGGAGCGCGGCGCGUCCACGUCCGUAAAACACCCAACUUUCUGAAAUGUUGACCUCGGAUCAGGUAGGAAUACCCGCUGAACUUAAGCAUAUCA
Molecule: ribosomal RNA, 618 nt
Filed under: Trichoderma sp. M13010
Lineage: Eukaryota; Fungi; Ascomycota; Sordariomycetes; Hypocreales; Hypocreaceae
Also listed under: 1 other name
Description: eukaryotic LSU rRNA
Rfam family: 5.8S ribosomal RNA (bases 242-395)
Source: RNAcentral